CUAAAGAGGGCUGACCCUUCUUCUAUUUAAAAAAGGGGCGGAUACUCUGAAAAUACACAAGAAAUUCUUGCAUUUUUUAAUCUAAAUUGGUCCUGGUUUUGCUAUUUAAUUUUGACUAUUAGUCAGAAUUUAUAGAUUUCAAAGAUUUUUUGAUUGUGGGUCUAAAAAGGUUUAAUCAUGGGAAGCUAAGAUAUUGGCUUGAAGCUCUCUGGUUUAUUUGGUUACUGCUCCAUUAGAAUCUGACAGCUUAUCUGUUGUUGCUACUUUACAGAGUCCUGAUUUUCUUCUUGUUUCCUUUUGUUUCCCAGGUAUUUCAUUUGAAUCUUGAAUGAAAUUGAUUCUUGUUUAAAUUUAUGAUGUGAGGAUGUAAAUUUCAGUUGAAGAAAGAAGUCUUGCUCUGCAGCUUUACUAACUUUUCUCCUUUAAAGUUUGUUGCAUUAUGUUUCUAGCUUCUUCCUAGUUAGGCUCUAUUUUUCUACUUCAUCUGUAGCUAAAUAAAUAAUCUGCACCAUACUUGUAUUUUAGGAUUAAUAUGGGAUCUAAUUUGAAUGCUUUCAAUCCAAUAAUAUGAGAUGUUAGAUAUAUGUAUUAACUUAGUAAGUAUUAGCUGAAGGAUUCGCUUGCUUGACUGUGAGUUUGUCUGCUUUUGAGUGCAUUUGAGAGCUGUAUGUUUGUUAGUUCAAAUUAUUCAUGAUGGAUCCAGUUUUCCAUGCA
This 714-nucleotide long non-coding RNA is filed under the name Nicotiana benthamiana. RNAcentral describes it as "long non-coding RNA (NBEN_LNC011947)". Lineage: Eukaryota; Viridiplantae; Streptophyta; Magnoliopsida; Solanales; Solanaceae. The record is from RNAcentral.